AACGCGAAGAACCUUACCUGGGCUCGAAAUGUAGAGGACGAUAUCAGAGAUGAUAUUUCCCGAAAGGGUCUUUACAUAGGUGCUGCAUGGCUGUCGUCAGCUCGUGCCGUGAGGUGUUUGGUUAAGUCCAGCAACGAGCGCAACCCUUAUCGUUAGUUGCCAACGCGUGAAGGCGGGAACUCUAACGAGACUGCCUGGGUUAACCAGGAGGAAGGUGAGGAUGACGUCAAGUCCGCAUGGCCUUUAUGUCCAGGGCUACACACGUGCUACAAUGGUCGGUACAAUAGGCAGCGAAACCGCAAGGCGGAGCAAAUCCUAUAAAACCGAUCUCAGUUCAGAUUGUAGACUGCAACUCGUCUACAUGAAGUUGGAAUUGCUAGUAAUGGCGUGUCAGCAACAACGCCGUGAAUACGUUCCCGGGCCUUGUA
RNAcentral lists this ribosomal RNA (428 nucleotides) under uncultured Chlamydiae bacterium. RNAcentral's name for it is "bacterial SSU rRNA". It matches the Rfam family "Bacterial small subunit ribosomal RNA", at positions 958 to 1385 of the family's 1533-position model. Lineage: Bacteria; Pseudomonadati; Chlamydiota; Chlamydiia. The record is from RNAcentral.